UGGGGAAUAUUGGGCAAUGGGCGAAAGCCUUACCCAGCAACGCCGCGUGAGGGAAGAAGGUUUUCGGAUUGUAAACCUCUGUCCUGGGGGACGAAGGAAGUGACGAUACCCCGGGAGGAAGCCCCGGCUAACUACGUGCCAGCAGCCGCGGUAAUACGUAGGGGGCGAGCGUUGUCCGGAAUUAUUGGGCGUAAAGGGCGCGUAGACGGCCGAGUAAGUUAUAGGUGAAAGCCCAUCUUUCAAGGAUGGAAUUGCCUGUAAUACUGCCUGGCUUGAGUGCAGGAGAGGGAAGCGGAAUUCCUAGUGUAGCGGUGAAAUGCGUAGAUAUUAGGAGGAACACCAGUGGCGAAGGCGGCUUUCUGGACUGCAACUGACGUUGAGGCGCGAAAGCGUGGGGAGCAAACAGGAUUAGAUACC
This 417-nucleotide ribosomal RNA is filed under the name uncultured bacterium. RNAcentral's name for it is "bacterial SSU rRNA". It matches the Rfam family "Bacterial small subunit ribosomal RNA", at positions 355 to 786 of the family's 1533-position model. The record is from RNAcentral.